AUUACUGCUGAGCCACAGUGGGAACUCCCAUUGUCUUUGUAUCGCUUAGUUUCCACAUGUGAGUCUAAUUUCUCCUUUGAGUUGGGGUGUGGUGGUGGGGUCUUGCGGCAGGUUGACAAAGAGGAGGACAGGGAGAUGAGAACCUGUGCUCUGAUCCUGUGCUGCCACUGACAGGUUGUGUGACCUUCAAAAAGACUUGUAACCUCUCUGACCUUUCAUUUCCUGUUGUAUCAGGUCGGGAAGCCGGAACCCAACGAGCAGUGGUUUUUACCCAGGAUCACACUGUCUGUCUCAUCUGGGGAAACAGUAGCUGUUCAGAAGCCCCAGGCACCACCUGUGGAGAUCCCACUGCAGAAGGACCAGGCUAGGGCCCCAGCUCCUCUCUGGUUGGAAGCACAGCCCUCGACAUCGCUGUAGGGCCUGGUGGCUUUAUAGUCUGCAGCCACUGGUGCAGGAGUUUCUUACUUUUAACAAAUCCCCAGAAUGCUCUGGGAAUCGGGUACUAUGCUUGCCCAUUUUUAGUAACUAAGGUUUAAGAUCAUAUAGUGUAAAAUUCCCAAACUAUUCUUGGCCGAGGUAAGUUUGCCACAAGCUGAUUAGCGAUGGUCUUAGCUGCCUAUUGCUGAGUAACCAAUGACCCAAAAGCUUAGCAGCCUAGAGCAACAUGCAUUUACAAUCUCACGGUUUCUACGGGGCACAGCCUCCGUGGGUGCCCUGCUUCAGGGUGACUUUAAAAGCUGCCCUCGGGGCUGCCGUGGUUGUUGGGAGGAUUUGUGGCCUCGAAGGCGGUUGGCCAGAAGCUGCGCUCCGUUCCUUGCCACACAGGCCUCUCCAGCCUAGCAUCCUGCUUCACCAGAGCAAGCGAGCCAGGAAGGCGAGCCAGGUGCCAGCCAGACGGGACCACAGUCCUUUCAGCCUGUCUCACGAGUUACCUCCCAGCACUGUUGCCACAGUCUAUGCAAGAGAAGCAAGGCGCUGGAAAGCCUUCAGUGAUGGGCCUUUGUGCAAGCUCAUCAUCAUAAAGCCCAUCCAUGCGGACCACAACAGACAUGGAAAGCGAGGGCCCGGGUGUACAGAGCCAGCCUCUCCUCUGGUGGUUGGAUUGGUUUAUGCAAUCCUCCUUUUGUCUUCUUUAGGCUCACAGGACUGAGACUCCAAACUGGGCUUGGAGAGUCAUCCCCCUGGAGCCGUCUCAUCACACUGCCAGGAUGUAGUUCAUUUUCUAGAACCAGGAGCUCCAGUGUGGAAGCAUCUGCCGGGAAGCCCCACGGCCCCACAUGGAUUCCCCAGUAUGAAGCAAAGUCCUUCCUGGGAAAACAGGUGGGAUUGCCUCUGCCUCUUCUCUACCCAGUCUCUCUAGUGGCAACAAUCUAACUGUGUUGCCUUGAACUCUGUAUUCCUAUGGUAGAAUGAAAGAAAAAUCUAGAAUAGUGAGCACAAACAGAACUUUGAAACAGCAUUUCUAGUUCAACUUCAGCUUCCUGGCAGGCCUGUCCUCAAAUCGUAGCAGCCAUAUGACUCUACUUUUAUUUUAUUGUUUAUUUGUUUGUUUGUUUGUCUUUUUAGGGCGGCACCCUUGGCAUAUGGAGGUUCCCAGGCUAGGGGUCAAAUCGGAGCUAUAGCUGUUGGCCUACACCACAGCCACAGCAACACCAGAUCCAAGCCGUAUUUUCAACAUACCGCACAGCUCAGGGCAACACUGGAUCCUUAACCCACUGAGCAAGGCCAGGGAGUGAACCUGCAUCCUCAUGGAUGCUAGUCAGAUUUGUUUCCGCUGAUCCAUGCCAGGAACUCUGUGCUUCUAUUUUUGAAUGCCUUUAGAAAUCAUUCUUAAUUUGCUUAAAUCAAAUCACUGCUUAGUGACACCUAUUCCACGCAAGUGACCAGCGUCAAUGGAGGCUACAGUGAUAUGACAUGCCUUUGCCUCGCUUGUCACUGCCCUGUGAGGCAGGUGGUAUUUGCUUCUCUGCAGAGCAGGAAACUGUGUUUCAGAGCAGUACAGUAACUUCUCCAAGGACACACAGCAAGUAAGGGGGUCGGGUGAGGGGCAGGCAGGUCUGGAACCCACUUCUUUCGGCUCCAGAUCCCAAGCCCCUGUCCUCUUUCCUUUUUUUCAAGGGAGUUUAACUUUAAAAAUCUAAUCAAGACGAACAUGAAAGUGAUAUUAUGUAGAGAGUUUCACAAAGGAGUUCAAAACGUAGCACAUUUUUUAAAUUGUCUUUUUCAUUCUUGAUGAGGAAAGCUGAGGUUUAAUGACUAGGCUGUUUUACUUGUAAAAAAAGAUCCAGCCCGCUAAAAGCCUCUGCCAGAAGUCUAUGGCAUUUAUUUAUUUUUUAUUUAUUUCUUAGGGCCACACCCACGGCACAUGGAAUUUCCCAGGUUAGGAGUCAAAUCAGAGCUACCUCUGCCAGCCUAUGCCAUAGCCACAGCCACAGCCACAGCCACAUGGGAUCUGAGCCACAUCUUUGACCUAUACCACAGCUCACAGCAAUCCCGGAUCCUUAACCCACUGAGCGAGGCCAGGGAUUGAACCCGCAUCCUCAUGGAUGCUAGUCGGGUUCAUUAACUGCUGAGCCACGAAGGGAACUCCUGUCUAUGACAUUUUUAAAAACUCAAAUUUAUAUGUGUUAAUUAUUUUUAUCAAAGCAAUGCUUCUUUGAAGUAAAGUUUAUGUAUAGAAGCCCCAUGCCACACACGCUCCCUCCCCCAAGAGAGAACAUCCCUCAAAUUCCAGGGCUGCCCCCAGCAUUUACCUCUGUCAUUUAAAACUACACUGCUAUUUCUUAAAAUAUCAAUUUUAGACAUUAUCUAUUGACUCUGGGCCAUGGUAGAUAAGGACUUCAUUUUUCCACACCACUGCCUGCUUUUCUUUCCUUUUAUCCCUGUGGCAUAUUUAUAAAAUAAUUUUUGGCAAAAAUCAAUAAUCAACACUUACACAUCGAGCCAGAGGUAAACUCCAACCAAACCUCCUUUCUCCUAUAAUCUUUUGUUUUUCCUAGAAUUCAUAAUUGCCUCAUUUUUUUCAUUUUAACCUGGCUUUCUGUGAAUCUUUCACACUUUUCUCCAAAUUUUUAUGUAUGUCAUAAUAAUACUUUCUAGAAUUGCAAACCAAUUCUCAUUUCCUUUUGUUUUGUUUUGUUUUCCUUAAGAGUCCUCACUCAAGGGAGUUCAUGUCGUGGCUCAGUGGAAACAAAUCCUACUAGUAUCCAUGAGGAUGCAGGUUUGAUCCCUGGUCUUGCUCAGUGGGUCAGGGAUCCAGCGUUGUCGUGAGCUGUGGUGUAGGUCUCAGACACAGGCCCAGAUCCCACAUUGCUGUGGCUAUGGUGUAGGCCAGCAGCUGUAGCUGCAAUUCUACCCCUAGUCUGGGAAAUUCCAUAUGUCAGGGGUGUGGCCCUGAAAAAAAGGGGGGGGGGACAACCUCUUGAGACAGACUCAAGAGGCUGUCUGUUCAAAUGUCCCAUUGUGCCAAUGUUAUCAGCUGCUUUCAGGGCAUACUGCAUAGCAGACACACUGGGAACUCUCUCCUCCAUUCUCUGGUUUUUGGUCCCCUCAUCCUUGGCUCACAUAUCUUCUUAUAUCUUGAUUUAUUUCAUUUUUUGCUAGAUAACAUCCCAGAGUGCAUUCCUAAGAAUGGGUACAUUGUGUUUUUUGAAUUUGAAUUUGUAAAGGCAAAAUUUUUGAAUUGUAAAAAUAUCUUUGUUCCACUUCACGUUUGGCUUCUACUUUGGUUGUGUAUGGUAUCCUAAGGUGAAAGUCAUUUUCCUUUGGAAUUCUGAAGGCACAGCUGUCCAGAACUCUCAAGGGUCACGUUCUAUCCUCCUUGCAAGCUAGCUAGCCAGCUGUCAGUUUCAUGGAGGCAGAAGACAUGAGGUUCCUGGGUCAGAGACAAAGGAUAGCUUAUUACUCACAGCAGAAUGUCAGCAUUUUUGGCACAUAUUCCCCUAACCCCAAUUCUCAUAGGAAGCCUAAAGAGGACCAAAUGAGAGCUGCACAUGCACAAUAGGUUGUGUUACAAGAGAGGAACCCUGAGCUUAGGGAACCCCAAUCUUUUAUAAUAGGCAUGCCUACCUUUUGCUCUGGAGAGAAAUACUGUAGCUGUCUUCCAAAACUGUUCACUCUACAUACAUACUUGAAAAUGGAGUCCAUUCAAAAGAAGUGGCAGUCAGGGCCUCUCUCAUAAGACAUUUGGAAAGGCAAGAGACACAUGGCAGAUGGUCUGCCAAAAACUAUCUCCUCCCCCACUGCUCCUGAGCUUCCCCUGAUGUCAGUGCUCUCAUUUUCUGUAGCUGGUUGCCUUUUGCCUCCCUGGAAGCCUUUGAACCACCUCUUUCUACCUGGUCUUCUGAAAUUUCCAAUAUCAAUUUAGAGACUUACAUCCUCCAUCUCUAGAGAUUUUUUUCUUACACGGUUUCUUUGAUAAUUAGAUGGACUCUUUCUCCCUUGUACCCCCUUAUGGAAUGCUCUCAUUUUCUUUGUUUGUUUGCUCUGUGUUUCAGGUUGGAGGAUUUUCCUUAGGUUCCUGUUAGCUAUGGAUGUCUUUAAGAGUGUAUUUAAAAAUAAGAGACUAGGGAGUUCCCAUCGUGGCUCAGCAGUAACAAAUCUGACCAGUAUCCAUGUGGAUGCAGGUUCAAUCCCUGGCCUCGCUCAGUAGGUUAAGGAUCCAGUGUUGCCAUGUGCUGUGGUGUAGGUUGCAGAUGCAGCCCAGAUCUCGUGUUGCUGUGGAUGGGGUGUAGGCUGGCAGCUACAGCUCCAAUUCAACCCCUAGCCUGGAAACUUCCAUAUGCCAUGGGUGUGGCCCUAAAAAG
RNAcentral lists this long non-coding RNA (4805 nucleotides) under Sus scrofa (pig). RNAcentral's name for it is "lncRNA (ENSSSCG00050038135.1)". Lineage: Eukaryota; Metazoa; Chordata; Mammalia; Artiodactyla; Suidae. The record is from RNAcentral.